This 497-nucleotide ribosomal RNA is filed under the name uncultured bacterium. RNAcentral describes it as "partial 16S ribosomal RNA". It matches the Rfam family "Bacterial small subunit ribosomal RNA", at positions 28 to 507 of the family's 1533-position model. The record is from RNAcentral.
GAUGAACGCUGGCGGCGUGCCUAAUACAUGCAAGUCGAGCGAACAGACGAGGAGCUUGCUCCUCUGACGUUAGCGGCGGACGGGUGAGUAACACGUGGAUAACCUACCUAUAAGACUGGGAUAACUUCGGGAAACCGGAGCUAAUACCGGAUAAUAUAUUGAACCGCAUGGUUCAAUAGUGAAAGACGGUUUUGCUGUCACUUAUAGAUGGAUCCGCGCCGCAUUAGCUAGUUGGUAAGGUAACGGCUUACCAAGGCAACGAUGCGUAGCCGACCUGAGAGGGUGAUCGGCCACACUGGAACUGAGACACGGUCCAGACUCCUACGGGAGGCAGCAGUAGGGAAUCUUCCGCAAAGGUCGAAAGCCUGACGGAGCAACGCCGCGUGAGUGAUGAAGGUCUUCGGAUCGUAAAACUCUGUUAUUAGGGAAGAACAAAUGUGUAAGUAACUAUGCACGUCUUGACGGUACCUAAUCAGAAAGCCACGGCUAACUACGUG